ACCCCGGGGAUAACAGGCUUAUCUCCCCCAAGAGUUCACAUCGACGGGGAGGUUUGGCACCUCGAUGUCGGCUCAUCGCAUCCUGGGGCUGUAGUCGGUCCCAAGGGUUGGGCUGUUCGCCCAUUAAAGCGGUACGCGAGCUGGGUUCAGAACGUCGUGAGACAGUUCGGUCCCUAUCCGUCGUGGGCGUAGGAAAUUUGAGAGGAGCUGUCCUUAGUACGAGAGGACCGGGAUGGACAUACCUCUGGUGUACCAGUUGUCGUGCCAACGGCAUAGCUGGGUAGCUAUGUAUGGACGGGAUAAGUGCUGAAAGCAUCUAAGCAUGAAGCCCCCCUCAAGAUGAGAUUUCCCAACUUCGGUUAUAAGAUCCCUCGAAGAUGACGAGGUUAAUAGGUUCGAGGUGGAAGCGUGGUGACACGUGGAGCUGACGAAUACUAAUCGAUCGAAGACUUAAUCAAUAUU
RNAcentral lists this ribosomal RNA (462 nucleotides) under Listeria monocytogenes. RNAcentral describes it as "bacterial LSU rRNA". It matches the Rfam family "Bacterial large subunit ribosomal RNA", at positions 2465 to 2925 of the family's 2925-position model. Lineage: Bacteria; Bacillati; Bacillota; Bacilli; Caryophanales; Listeriaceae. The record is from RNAcentral.